UUACUGUUUCCACAUAAAGUGAAGUGAAUGAAAUGAACUCUGUGGAGUGACAGUGACAGUGAAGUGGGAUCCAUAAUAGCGUUGUUUACAGUGAGAAGUUGUCAGUUAGAGUUAGUUGGGUUGUUUAUGCUUAGGUUCAAUUAGUGUUUUUCGAAUAUGAGCGUUGAAUUAUGGUUUGAUACCAACAGUGAAGAUGAAGAGGAAUUUGCAAACAUCACUGUGAAGCGUAAAAAAAUAAGAGAUUAUUCUGACCCGCUUAAACAAACUGAAAAAUCCUCCAUCACAUUCUUUCGAGCUUCCAAGGAAAUUUUUGAAUAUUUAUAAAAAUAAUGUUGGUAGCUUGUUUGAUUUGUUUCGCAGAAGGAAAUUAUAAAAAGGGGGUUGGUAACGAUCGCAUCAUAGGAUUAGCUCAGUCUACCAUGUCAAAAGUAUUGAAAAUUAUUCUAAAUAUAGGUAAUUGAAGAAAAAGUAAGUGCUCUUGUAAUAAAUUUUCCAGUUGAAGAAAGCGAGAAAAAAAUUAAACUGGGAUUUGACGAAAAAAAAACUGGAAUUCCUGGUGUAAUCGGCUGUGUAGAUAACACCCACGUAAGCAUAAUAUCACCAGCUCGUGAUAAACAUUUGUUUUGCAACAGAGAAGGUUUCCAUAUAGUUUCAACGUAAUUGUGGUAGGUUGUAGAGCCUAGGGAUCUGUUCACAAAUAACGUUACGUUUUACGGGGAGGGAGGCUUAAGCGUAUGUGCUUCAUACAAAUGAAUAAAUAUAUAACGCUACUAUACUGUCGUUCUACGCAUAAUUGUCCCAUGUACAUAGGAAAUCCCAGCAAGCGUGGGACAAAUAUGUGUAUGACGACAGUAUACAACCAUUAUAGAUUUGUGACCAUAAUCUGGUGAUUCGAUAUGUUCAUCAUAUGAUUCUUUUGUGUGGAACGGUAGCGAUGUGGAAUAGAUACUCAAAAUCACGCAAACGAGGAAAAAAACUCCUGGUUACUCGGUGAUGCCGGUUAUCUUUUAAUGCUGUUGCUGAUCACUCCUUUAAGAACUUAGACGCAUGUUACUGAACAACAGGUGUGGUUAAAGGCACAUUUUGUUGUGCAAAAGGAAAAACAACUGUACUACUACGUCGCACCUUACAAUCUCCGUGUAAAACAUAAAAUGGAUUUCGACGACCCUGAGCUGAUUCACGAAAACGAAAACUUACCCAUUAAUGGAGAAAAUGAAGAAUAUGAAAAUUAAAAUGGAGUAAGACGAGAAAUUAGGAACAAUAUUUUGUAGACAACGAUAUAUAUUAUUCGAACACGCU
Molecule: long non-coding RNA, 1299 nt
Organism: Armigeres subalbatus
Lineage: Eukaryota; Metazoa; Arthropoda; Insecta; Diptera; Culicidae
Exons: 3
Source: RefSeq, a predicted model, not a curated record